This is a non-coding RNA of Myotis davidii, 74 nucleotides long. Lineage: Eukaryota; Metazoa; Chordata; Mammalia; Chiroptera; Vespertilionidae. The record is from Rfam.
GACUAUGUUGCUCAGUGGUUAGAGCAUUGGUCCUUGCACCGAAUGGUUGCAGGUUCAAUUCCUGGUCAGGGGCA